RNAcentral lists this unclassified non-coding RNA (284 nucleotides) under plant metagenome. RNAcentral's name for it is "partial contains small subunit ribosomal RNA, internal transcribed spacer 1, and 5.8S ribosomal RNA". The stretch from base 1 to 47 matches the Rfam family "Eukaryotic small subunit ribosomal RNA", at positions 1785 to 1831 of the family's 1831-position model. The record is from RNAcentral.
GAAGUCGUAACAAGGUUUCCGUAGGUGAACCUGCGGAAGGAUCAUUAAUGAGUUGUCAUGGGGUUCGAUGCUGGCAGCCAAUUUUUGGAUGCAUGUGCUUGCCCUAACAAUCAUCUUCCAAACACCUGUGCACAUUUUUGAGGGAGUCUUGAGUUGGUUGCCGCUCUUGGGUGAUUUUCUCACAUUCCCUUAAAUCAUUAUACGCUAUUAACAAUGUUGAACGUGCUCUGUGCCGCAAGGCUAUUAAUAUAAUACAACUUUUAACAACGGAUCUCUUGGCUCUC